This is a non-coding RNA of Arachis ipaensis, 763 nucleotides long. NCBI's taxonomy places the organism in Eukaryota, Viridiplantae, Streptophyta, Magnoliopsida, Fabales, Fabaceae. The record is from RefSeq and is a predicted model, not a curated record.
UUUUUUAAAAUUCCAAAAUACCCCUUCACAUUGCACCGCACUCUUCGCUGAGCUUCCCUGUCGCCGCGUUUCCUCCGCUUGGCAUCCGUCGCUGGUCGUCUGCCAUCACUUAUCGUAACCCUGGUGUGCUCCACUACUCGCAGAAUGCCACGCUGGUCCUCCAUCGCCAUUCCCUUCGCCUCCCUUUCGCUCACGUUCGUGAUCGCCAUUCCCUUCGCUUAUUCACACGCUUUUGUCAUCGCCGUCCCUUUCGCUGGCAUCCCGUUGCUGCGCCGUCCCCAUUGAAUUUGAUGAUUUCAGCAAGGAAAAUAUGGAUAAACUGGGACAUGGAGUUUAUGAGCCUUUGGAUGUGAAUCUCCUCCCACCUCCGCAUCUAAUCUAUGCUGAGAAUCCUAAUGAUUCUGGGAAGACAUUGGUUCGGCACCAGUUACAGACAUUGUUCUUUCAAAAUCCUUCUCGGUUCAGAAACAGACAGUUAUCAAUGUUAUUGUUAUCCUUUGUUAUUAUUGAUUCCUAUGCUGGUUCAGAGAAUGGGAGGCUGCAACACAAUAACUAAUUUUUAAAUUAUCUGUAUUACACUGAAAUUACGUUUUUUAUGAUUUUUGUUUUUAGAUUUCAAAUUUCAAUAACACAAAUUAUAGUCUUGUGGUUUUUAUGGUGUACCAUGAUAUGAUAAAGACAAAUUAUAUUCCAUGAAUCCACACAGAUGUAAAAUGUUACAUGAUCAUAAUGAAUACUUGAAUGAUAGAAACUGAAUUUUAUA